AGGUAGUGACAAUAAAUCACAAUGCAGGACUAUUUAGUUUUGCAAUUGAAUUGAGAACAAUGUACAAGAGUUAUCGAUAAACAAUUGGAGGGCAAGUCUGGUGCCAGCAGCCGCGGUAAUUCCAGCUCCAAUAGCGUAUAUUAACGUUGUUGCAGUUAAAAAGCUCGUAGUUGAAGUGUGGGAUAAUGUAUAUUGGAUCUUUUUGUGAAGGUAUAUGUUGUCCCCCCUCCAAUUUCGGUCUGUGGGUAUUCAUUUACUUGCAGUUCGUGCUGGUCAUUUACUGUGAGAAAAUUAGAGUGUUCAAAGCAGGCAUUUGCUUGAAUAUAUUAGCAUGGAAUAAUAUUAAAAGGCUUGUAUGGUCGAUUUAAUUGGUUUGUUCAUAUAAGCAAGAUUAAUAGGGACAGUUGGGGGUAUUCAUAUUCAAUAGUUAGAGGUGAAAUUCUCGGAUUUAUGGAAGAUGAACAAGUGCGAAAGCA
This 476-nucleotide ribosomal RNA is filed under the name Blastocystis sp. Its description in RNAcentral is "SSU rRNA". It matches the Rfam family "Eukaryotic small subunit ribosomal RNA", at positions 462 to 953 of the family's 1831-position model. Lineage: Eukaryota; Bigyra; Opalinata; Blastocystidae. The record is from RNAcentral.